Molecule: ribosomal RNA, 490 nt
Filed under: uncultured bacterium
Lineage: Bacteria
Description: partial 16S ribosomal RNA
Rfam family: Bacterial small subunit ribosomal RNA
Source: RNAcentral
AUUGAACGCUGGCGGCAGGCCUAACACAUGCAAGUCGAACGGUGACAGAAAGCAGCUUGCUGCUUUGCUGACGAGUGGCGGACGGGUGAGUAAUGUCUGGGAAACUGCCUGAUGGAGGGGGAUAACUACUGGAAACGGUAGCUAAUACCGCAUAACGUCGCAAGACCAAAGAGGGGGACCUUCGGGCCUCUUGCCAUCGGAUGUGCCCAGAUGGGAUUAGCUAGUAGGUGGGGUAACGGCUCACCUAGGCGACGAUCCCUAGCUGGUCUGAGAGGAUGACCAGCCACACUGGAACUGAGACACGGUCCAGACUCCUACGGGAGGCAGCAGUGGGGAAUAUUGCACAAUGGGCGCAAGCCUGAUGCAGCCAUGCCGCGUGUAUGAAGAAGGCCUUCGGGUUGUAAAGUACUUUCAGCGGGGAGGAAGGGAGUAAAGUUAAUACCUUUGCUCAUUGACGUUACCCGCAGAAGAAGCACCGGCUAACUCCGUG